AGGUGGGAUAGGAGAUGUUUUUCUGGCACAUAUUUUACCAUAUCAUCUGAAAAACUCCUCAUGACGCCAUAGCACCCAUUGAAAUAGAGUGUUUGGAAAAAAAACGAAAUCUUUUGGUCCAGUGUAGAGGGCGUAGUCAGAAGAAAACGGCAACCAAUAGAAGUAAUACUCAUCAUCACUUCUAUUGGUUUCUGACACGUCCAUCAACCGCCAGCACUCACCCCUCCUCCCUGCGCGUUCACCGACUCGUGAACUUGACCGACCCCGCCCCCAUCAUUCAUGCACACGCGACAAGGCUCAUCAUCACUCGGCUAGUAGCAAGGUAACGAGAGUUAGCAGCAGGCUGAGCUACUUGGAAACUUUGGUGGCUUUUGCAGAGCUACAGGAAGAACUUUGGCUUUUGGAACAGUAGACUAACCAUGUCAGGAUAACAUACUCCCUUGGAUUAUCAUCGGACUCGCAAGACCAGACUCCAACACGGGCUGAAAAUUUGAAAUGGGACCUGACACUCUUGGACACAGAUGUCGGCUACGGCAGCGGCUUCAAAUACGAUUUGGUGACCAUAUUUCUAAUCGAGAGUUGUGCGAACGAGCCAGACAAACCAGCUGGGAGGAGGACGGAAGCACCCCUUCUCCAUCCGCGUUCAGUUGCUAAAUACGGAUCCACCCCGUAGUGUGGUGUUUUCCAUAGCUGCUCCUUGCUCCUGUUUCACAACAUAUCAAGGCUGCCAAGUAAAUGAAGAAUGAAUCACCGCACACUGGUCAACAGCCGACAGGGUCCUUCCACAACCACAUACUUAUGCCAGUAAAAGCCACAGCUUUUCUCCUCCAAUCCAAGAAGCCUGGACUGCAGUCACCAUCUCAACACACCAACCAAGAGAAAGGCGGAUGGCUCAAUUCAAUAUGGAAAAUUGCACAAUAAAAGUUCCAGGACAUGAAGGCUGCAUACUGUGAACGUCAACCUUCAGGGCACCGUCCUGCGCAGAAGACUUUCUACCCUAAGAGGGAUGGCUGACCGCAGACACUCACAACCAGCACAGACGCCUCCAACCUCAAACUAGGCCCUUCACAGUUGCUGCACUUACCCACCUUCCCAGAGUUUUUGUGUGGUAAUGACAACUGUAAAUAUAGUAUAAAGUAAUGUAUCUAGUGUCAUGUGUAAUACAUUGUUUAAAUUGUCCAUACAUUUCAAUGACAGUAAAUAUUGGUGGACACAAUUUGACUGUGUGGCUUUUUUUUAAUUCAUUCUCUGACUGAAAAUGCAUGGUUACAUAAUUUAUAUAUUCCACAAGACCACAAUCAGAAGAACAUUUGACAGGUUGCAUUUAUUUUCUAUGUAUGAAAAAAACAAUGGUAACAAGACAAACGUGGUUCCAAACCAAAAAGGUGAGAUGUACAGAUGAAUGCUCCUACAGAUAAUGAAAAAUAGUCUGCACACUGCCGGUUUGUGUGUUUUAUACCGUACUCUGUAUAAACCUUUUAUAUUGCUCUAGUGGAGCAGGGUAACCCUGGCUAAUCCUGGGUAUUGUACUGUGUAUUACAAGGUCAGCCCUGUUCAAGUGCCCCAUACUGUCUGUAGGCUGCAUGCCUGAAGAGACCGUUUCUCUCACCUGGUCCUACAUCAGCCCAAAGUCUUAUCAAAACUGAGAACACCACAGCAUUUCCUUUCAAUGUUCAUGGGCAUCUCCUUACAGAUUGCGCAGAGGCGCCAGGUUGGUUGUGCUACUGGGCUGUGACUGAGGACCAGAUGUCAUGUGCCAGGUCGAACAUCAAACUGGGGUCACGGGUCAGGGCACGCUGCAGUAACCGAUGGGAUUGCUUCAAAUUCAAUGAUUGAAUCAAGGCCUGCAAAGCAAUAAAUACAUUUUAUGUAGUGCAUUUUCUAUUUGAUGAUGGGGACUAAAUAACUCUAUUGACAAUAAGACCAAUAUGGACAUAAGCAAUCAUUAUUGUGUAUAUAAAUAAAGAUGUGCCAAUUAUAUGCAUACAACGUUUUCAGUCAAUUUCUUACAAACUGGUGUUGUGCCAGGGGUUACACAGAUGUAUGAAGUAGAUGGGCUUUUAUGGAUGUACUUGAACUACCACUGGUGUUGUGUACCUACAACCAUGUAAUAUCACACUACUACUCAUAGGAGUAGAAAUAUUGUAAUGGUUAUCACAACAGGUGUACUCGUGUAGCCUACUCGUGUUGCGAUAUAGAGUACAUCC
Engraulis encrasicolus (European anchovy) is the source of this 2207-nucleotide long non-coding RNA. RefSeq lists it as uncharacterized. The transcript is spliced from 6 exons. The record is from RefSeq and is a predicted model, not a curated record. NCBI's taxonomy places the organism in Eukaryota, Metazoa, Chordata, Actinopteri, Clupeiformes, Engraulidae.